AUCGAUGAAGAACGCAGCGAAAUGCGAUAAGUAAUGUGAAUUGCAGAUUUUCAGUGAAUCAUCGAAUCUUUGAACGCACCUUGCGCUCCUUGGUAUUCCGAGGAGCAUGCCUGUUUGAGUGUCAUUAAAUUCUCAACCCCGAUCGGAUUUGUUUUCGAUUCGGAGGCUUGGAUUGUGGAGCGUGCUGGCCCCUACCCCGGGUCGGCUCCUCUUAAAUGCAUUCGCGGAAUUGACUUUGGUCCGUUUCGGUCAUCAGUGUGAUAAUCAUGUUGCGCUGUUGGCUAGGAUCGAGGUGCCGCAUACAAUGGUCUUCGGACAACUCUAUAUCAAUUUGACCUCAAAUCAGGUAGGACUACCCGCUGAACUUAAGCAUAUCAAUAAGCGGAGGAAAAGAAACUAACAAGGAUUCCCCUAGUAACUGCGAGUGAAGCGGGAAAAGCUCAAAUUUAAAAUCUGGCCGUCUCCGAUGGUCCGAGUUGUAAUCUGGAGAAGCGUUUUCCGCGUCGGACCGUGUACAAGUCUUCUGGAAUGGAGCGUCAUAGAGGGUGAGAAUCCCGUCUCUGACACGGACUACCGAUGCUUUUGUGAUGCGCUCUCGAAGAGUCGAGUUGUUUGGGAAUGCAGCUCAAAAUGGGUGGUAAAUUCCAUCUAAAGCUAAAUAUUGGCGAGAGACCGAUAGCGAACAAGUACCGUGAGGGAAAGAUGAAAAGCACUUUGGAAAGAGAGUUAAACAGUACGUGAAAUUGUUGAAAGGGAAACGCUUGAAGUCAGUCGCGUUGGCCGAGACUCAGCCUGGCUUGCUAGGUGUACUUCUCGGUCGACGGGUCAGCAUCAGUUUUGACCGCCGGAUAAAGGUUGGAGGAAUGUGGCAUCUCUCGGGAUGUGUUAUAGCCUCUGAUUCGCAUACGGCGAUUGGGACUGAGGAACUCAGCACGCCUUUAUGGUCGGGGUUCGCCCACGUAACGUGCUUAGGAUGCUGGCAUAAUGGCUUUAAGCGACCCGUCUUGAAACACGG
This 1015-nucleotide ribosomal RNA is filed under the name uncultured fungus. RNAcentral describes it as "eukaryotic LSU rRNA". The stretch from base 333 to 1015 matches the Rfam family "Eukaryotic large subunit ribosomal RNA", at positions 1 to 664 of the family's 3401-position model. Lineage: Eukaryota; Fungi. The record is from RNAcentral.